UGCCCUGAGCCGAAGUCGGCUGCUUAACCGACUAAGCCACCCAGGCGCCCCUAACAUACGGAUUUUUAAACAUUUUCCUGAUUGUCCUGUGAAAUAUCUACCUGCGAUGUGGAAACGGAGGCUCAGACAAGUUACUUACCCAAGAACACUAAGGUCACCAGUAACCAGGUCUUGAACUCAGGGCUUAGUUUUUAUUCCUACACCCCAGCAAUUAAUCACCAUACCACUGUACAUUUUUGAGCACUUACUUUUUAGCAAGCUCUAUUUUGGAUGUGGAUGUGGAGAACAUUAGGAGAGGUGCAAGUUA
This is a long non-coding RNA of Herpailurus yagouaroundi (jaguarundi), 307 nucleotides long. RefSeq lists it as uncharacterized. The record is from RefSeq and is a predicted model, not a curated record. Lineage: Eukaryota; Metazoa; Chordata; Mammalia; Carnivora; Felidae. The transcript is spliced from 2 exons.